Molecule: long non-coding RNA, 1813 nt
Filed under: Marmota monax (woodchuck)
Lineage: Eukaryota; Metazoa; Chordata; Mammalia; Rodentia; Sciuridae
Source: RNAcentral
GGUCUUGGUCCAGCCUGUGAUUGCCUUUGUUUAUGCUUUUGUCCUGGAAUAAUUAUUAAUAGUGGUCUCUUCACUAUCCAGAAGGUCCUAGUUAGGAUGAUAAAGUCUAUGGUCAUCAACCUAAUGAAGAUCUUAGAACAUGGAAUCAGUAGGUAUCAAGCUUUGUCUAUUUUGCAUAAAUAAGUUAUUUAUUAGCCUGGGUUUUUUUUCUACUAAUAGUUUCCAAAGUUCUUUUAUCUCAUAAUAUUUUUCACUUAUAGCUUAGAGCUUCAUUGAGAUUUAAAUAUUAUAUGGCUUCUAGAUUAAUGGUUAUGCUAACUUAUUCAUUUAUUAAUCAUUUAGUAAUCAUUGAUUUCUCUAAGAAUGGAGCUAUACAGUUUAUACCCUGUGUCACUCAACUUUUUGUCACCGUGACCAAAAUACCUGAUUAGAACAAAUUAGAGGAGAAAAGGUUUAUUUGGGCUCAGGGUUCUAGAGGUCUCAGUCCAUGAUCAGCUGGCUCCAUUAUGGCUUUGGGCUUGAGACCACAUGAUGGAAGGGCACAGGGGAGGAAAGCUGCUCAUUUUAUGGCAUCCAGGAAAGAGAGAGAGAGAGAGAGAGAGAGAGAGAGAGAGAGAGAGACCCCAGAGACAAGAAAUGUCCUUUGGGACAUGUCCACAGUGAUUUACUUCCUUUAAUCAGGUCCCAUCUCCCACAGCCUCCACCACCUCUCAGUAUUUCAUUUAGCUCUCAAUGGACUGGUCCACUGAUGAGGUCAAAGCCCUUAUGAUCCAAUCAUUUCUCCAAACCCCACAUCUGAACAUUGUUCACCGGGGACCAAACGUAUAACACAUGAGUGUUUGGGGGACAUUCCAGGUCCAAAACAUAACAUACCAGUUAUCUCAUUUAAUAUUCACAAAACUCUAUGCAGUGGGUACUAGUGCUGCCCUCCUAUGUCAAAACUGAAGCAUAAAGAGGAUAAGUUACUUGCCCUGGGCUCAGAGCCCUUUGUCAGAGAAUGAGAACUUUAGCCUAUGUCUGAUUUCAGAGUCCAUAAUCCAAAAUGGUACACUGUAAUUGGGCCCUCCCCUCUUACCCAUUCUACAAAGGCCCAUUUCUUACAUAGCCAUGGAGUAAUAGUUCUUGUCACUAAUUAUUUGUCAGAUGAAGUAGAGCAUAAAGAAGAGUACAAGGACAAAAGUUUUACAUCCAAUAUGCCAUUGGAAACACCACCUCUUCAUAUACAGUUCUGACUUUGGCUCUAAGACUAUUUGUAGAGACUAUAAAAUAGUUCAGCUUCAAAUCUCAUCCUUUGUUUCAGCAUAGACUAAAUAUCCAAAAAAAUGUAUUGCCUACUCUCUUCAUCUAUAUAUUUUAAAAUGGCCUGCACUAUUUAAAGUCAGUAACUUGGCCAGCAGAAUUUAUAACUUCUAACAUUUUGAGUUAAUUGAAACUAAGCCCAUUUUAAUUAUUCAUGUAGAUUUACAGUAAGGAAGGCUCAGAGGGACUGAGUAUAAAUGAAUGGUAUUCAAACCAGUCAGCCAAAUAUUUGUUAUAAAGUUGAAGCAUUGAUACAAAGAUAGAGCAGAGAGAUAGAAUUUUAUCAAGUUACAGGCUAUUGGGCAGAAGGGCUAAAAAAGGUGGAAGUUUGAACUUUGGAAGUGGGGAAAAAUAUCUCUGAAACUCUACCAUAAGUCCUCAUAUGAAAAAGAAAAUCAAAAUAGUAUGGCCAAGGGUUACAGUACAUCCAAGAAGAGUUAGUCAGUGUUCAGGCAGAUGAACUCUUAUUUGGUACUAAAAAUUUAGUCAUUACUGAAUGUGAAUUCUGCCCCCA